CAUUAUCCUAUAGGCCUACCGCUAUUCUCUCUUCGCCAUGAUUUCUCCCGGCUCCCGGGGAUAAUCUGGGGGGAAAGACAGGGAUGCUGCCUCACCCAAACCACACAAAAUCCGUCAACAUUAACGGCCUGCAUUCCCUAACCCCGCCUUUGAAUAAAACAUUUAACCGAAUUAACCGAGUUUGCAUUGAGCAGAAAAGCGAACCCGACAUUGCAGCGGAUGGGCGGAUGCGAGAAAACUAUUGCAUUUGCUCCACCCGUUGGCUUGCAGUGAUAACCGGCCAGACACCGUUCCCCAACAAAGAACAUCGGCGUGGAAAUGUAAUAACUCGCGACCGCGAAACCUCAGCAGUGCGUUGACUGCCUUUUACGCGUGAAAAUGAUUCACGGACAACAUUUAUUUCAAUGAUAGUUUUACAAGAGCCUUGUGAUAUAGCUUAUUCAAACGUGGACAGUCAACCACAGGCUUACAUGUUGUCAAAUAAAGACAAUUGAAAUAAUUCCUUGAAAUAGAUGCUCUGAAAGAUCACGUGUGUAGACUCGAUUUUAUUUAUAGGCACCUUAUUAUUAAAGGCCUAUAACCAAGAGCUCGUGCAGAAAUGAUUUCACAGCUGAUGCAAACAGGUCCUUCACCUCUGAGCUGUAGGUCUACCCGAGAGAGCAUUCAACUACGGACCACAAGCCUAAUUUCACAUAUGCCUGACUGCCUUGCCCAGACAUCUUCGCUGUUCUGUUCUUGCUGCACUUAGUGGACCGCUAUCAAUGGAAUGGAUGUUCAGAAUACUGAGGUUCGCCGGGUGGAUAAGGCCGGUGUGGAAUCGGCAGAAAAAAAAUUGCAGCAAAGAGUGGGUACAAUUCCAAAAGGAGUCGUGCGUCCUAAAGGGGGAGGCCACCGCUCGCAGAAUCUAGGAAAAGAAUCGCAGCUCCAGAUCACGUCUUCUCUCCUGUUCUCCGCCGAUGCACCAAA
Long non-coding RNA from Salvelinus sp. IW2-2015, 966 nucleotides. RefSeq lists it as uncharacterized. NCBI's taxonomy places the organism in Eukaryota, Metazoa, Chordata, Actinopteri, Salmoniformes, Salmonidae. The record is from RefSeq and is a predicted model, not a curated record.